Molecule: small nuclear RNA, 98 nt
Filed under: Meriones unguiculatus (Mongolian gerbil)
Lineage: Eukaryota; Metazoa; Chordata; Mammalia; Rodentia; Muridae
Source: RNAcentral
GGGCUCACAGCACAUAAACAAAAAUUGGAAUGAUACGGAGAUUAGCAUGGCCCCUGUGCAAGGAUGUCACACAAAUUCGUGAAGUGUUCCAUAUUUUU